AGUGGCGGACGGGUGAGUAACGCGUGGGCAACCUACCCCACACAGGGGGACAACAGUUGGAAACGACUGCUAAUACCGCAUAGGCGCACAGCUUCGCAUGAAGCAGUGUGGAAAACCGAGGUGGUGUGGGAUGGGCCCGCGUCUGAUUAGCUGGUUGGCGGGGUAACGGCCCACCAAGGCGACGAUCAGUAGCCGGCCUGAGAGGGUGGACGGCCACAUUGGGACUGAGACACGGCCCAAACUCCUACGGGAGGCAGCAG
Molecule: ribosomal RNA, 260 nt
Filed under: uncultured bacterium
Lineage: Bacteria
Description: partial 16S ribosomal RNA
Rfam family: Bacterial small subunit ribosomal RNA
Source: RNAcentral